RNAcentral lists this ribosomal RNA (254 nucleotides) under uncultured bacterium. Its description in RNAcentral is "partial 16S ribosomal RNA". It matches the Rfam family "Bacterial small subunit ribosomal RNA", at positions 524 to 776 of the family's 1533-position model. The record is from RNAcentral.
UACAGAGGUCUCAAGCGUUGUUCGGAAUUACUGGGCGUAAAGGGCGCGCAGGCGGCUGCUCAAGUCAGGCGUGAAAGGCCUGGGCUCAACCCGGGAAUUGCGCUUGAGACUGGGCUGGCUUGAGUGCGGGAGAGGAUGGUGGAAUUCCCAGUGUAGAGGUGAAAUUCGUAGAUAUUGGGAAGAACACCGGUGGCGAAGGCGGCCAUCUGGACCGCAACUGACGCUGAGGCGCGAAAGCGUGGGGAGCAAACAGG